GAGCAGAUAGGCCUCCUGGUGA
Molecule: non-coding RNA, 22 nt
Filed under: Arabidopsis thaliana (thale cress)
Lineage: Eukaryota; Viridiplantae; Streptophyta; Magnoliopsida; Brassicales; Brassicaceae
Source: RNAcentral